RNAcentral lists this ribosomal RNA (564 nucleotides) under uncultured Glomeromycotina. RNAcentral describes it as "SSU rRNA". It matches the Rfam family "Eukaryotic small subunit ribosomal RNA", at positions 548 to 1114 of the family's 1831-position model. Lineage: Eukaryota; Fungi; Glomeromycota. The record is from RNAcentral.
UUGGAGGGCAAGUCUGGUGCCCGCAGCCGCGGUAAUUCCAGCUCCAAUAGCGUAUAUUAAAGUUGUUGCAGUUAAAAAGCUCGCAGUUGAAUUUCGAGAUCAAUUUGUCGGUCGUGCCUCGGUACGUACUGGCAUUAUUGAUUUCUCCCUUCUGAAGAACCGCGAUGUCAUUAAUUUGGUGUCGUGGGGAAUCAGGACUGUUACUUUGAAAAAAUUAGAGUGUUUAAAGCAGGCGCACGCUUGAAUACAUUAGCAUGGAAUAAUGAAAUAGGACGUUUGAUUCUAUUUUGUUGGUUUCUAGAAUCGACGUAAUGAUUAAUAGGGAUAGUUGGGGGCAUUAGUAUUCAAUUGUCAGAGGUGAAAUUCUUGGAUUUAUUGAAGACUAACUACUGCGAAAGCAUUUGCCAAGGAUGUUUUCAUUAAUCAAGAACGAAAGUUAGGGGAUCGAAGACGAUCAGAUACCGUCGUAGUCUUAACCAUAAACUAUGCCGACUAGGGAUCGGAUGAUGUUAAUUUUUUAAUGACUCAUUCGGCGCCUUGCGGGAAACCAAAGUGUUUGGGUUC